Molecule: ribosomal RNA, 318 nt
Filed under: uncultured eukaryote
Lineage: Eukaryota
Description: partial 18S ribosomal RNA
Rfam family: Eukaryotic small subunit ribosomal RNA
Source: RNAcentral
CCCUUAGAUGUCCUGGGCCGCACGCGUGCUACACUGAUGCAUACAGCGAGUACUUUCCAGCUCCGCGAGGCAGCUGGUAAUCAGCAAUAUGCAUCGUGCUGGGGAUAGAUCUUUGGAAUUAUAGAUCUUGAACGAGGAAUUCCUAGUAAGCGCAAGUCAUUAGCUUGCGCUGAUUAAGUCCCUGCCCUUUGUACACACCGCCCGUCGCUCCUACCGAUUUCGAGUGAUUCGGUGAACCUUUUGGACAGCGUCUGUCCUCGUGUCAGAUGCUGAAAGUCAAGUAAACCAUAUCACUUAGAGGAAGGAGAAGCCGUAACA